AAAACUGUUUGUGAUAUUUAUAAAAUAUUCAGAUAUUUAUAAUAAUGUUCAUGCUAUUUUACCUAAUUUUCGGGCAAUGUUAGAAGAUGUCCAUAACUUAUAAAAAAUGUUCAUGGGUCCCAAAGAUAUGUUAAUAGAAUUUUAGAGACUAUUAUACAAUGUUACAAAAUGUGUUUGCAUUCUUUGAAAAACUGUUUCAUGCCAUAUCAAAUUUUGAUGACAUUUGAAAAAAUUGUAACACUUCAGAAAUAUUUGCAAAUUUAAAGCAAUUAUGACAUUUAUGAACAAUGUAUGUAAAUAAUGUUCACAGUGUAUUAAAAAAAUAUUGAAUGUGCAUUUGACAAAUGUUCAAAUGCAUUUUAGAAAAAUAUUUUACGUAUAUCUUAAAAGUGUCAACAUGUAUACGAAGAUGUCCAAUGUGUUUCUGCAAAUAGUUCACAUAUAUUUGAAAAAUACGAAACCUGAUAAAAUGAGUAAAAAAUAAUAAAACGAAAAGAAGAAAUAGAAAACAAAUACUCGAUGAUAGCAGAUUCAUAAAACACACAGAUGAACAAAGAGGGAAAAAAAAUACCAUGUGGACCCUUCUAAAAACGGUCUGAACCGGUUCAUAGAAGUGUCCCAACAACACACGUUAUCGGACAGCUUGCUAGACCUCGCAGCAGAGGCGAGACGAACUAUUAGGACACACAAGGAGCGAUCACCCGAUUUGGUGGCCCCUGCCUGAUAUUACAAUUACCUUGAUGACUUUCUUUUAGUUUUCAGUCAUUUUUCCAACGAACAAAUUGGCUUUUCAAAUUUUUACAGAUUUAAAGAUUAUUAAUAGCUUGUUCAAAUGAACGUUCAUGAAUUCAAAAAUCCUAAAUCCAA
Molecule: long non-coding RNA, 867 nt
Filed under: Hordeum vulgare
Lineage: Eukaryota; Viridiplantae; Streptophyta; Magnoliopsida; Poales; Poaceae
Description: long non-coding RNA (HVUL_LNC013915)
Source: RNAcentral